GCUGCAUCCAACAUGUAAUCAGACGUUCAAGUUAGAAUUUACCUAACUUGAAGACAAAUUUCAUCAAUUUAAAUUUGAAUGCAAUAUUGGAGAAAUAUGAUCAAAUGCCUAAUAAAAUUUGUGAUACUAUGCUAAACCAAGCUUGAGGCCUGGUUUUAAGCAAAAUUUGAAAAAGAUAGAUUUCUGUCGAAGCGUGCUGGCCAAAUACUGAUCCAAUU
This 218-nucleotide long non-coding RNA is filed under the name Elaeis guineensis (African oil palm). RNAcentral's name for it is "long non-coding RNA (EGUI_LNC033594)". Lineage: Eukaryota; Viridiplantae; Streptophyta; Magnoliopsida; Arecales; Arecaceae. The record is from RNAcentral.